CUAGAUUCAAACCAUAACGUGUUACAUUUCUCUUCCACUUCUCAGCCAGAAGGGUUUGGUUUGAUGAUACUGCAUGUCCCUGACUGAUGCUGAG
This 94-nucleotide long non-coding RNA is filed under the name Chinchilla lanigera (long-tailed chinchilla). RNAcentral describes it as "lncRNA (ENSCLAG00000028926.1)". The record is from RNAcentral. Lineage: Eukaryota; Metazoa; Chordata; Mammalia; Rodentia; Chinchillidae.